This 496-nucleotide ribosomal RNA is filed under the name uncultured bacterium. RNAcentral describes it as "partial 16S ribosomal RNA". It matches the Rfam family "Bacterial small subunit ribosomal RNA", at positions 28 to 506 of the family's 1533-position model. The record is from RNAcentral.
GAUGAACGCUGGCGGCGUGCCUAAUACAUGCAAGUCGAGCGAACGGACGAGGAGCUUGCUCCUCUGACGUUAGCGGCGGACGGGUGAGUAACACGUGGAUAACCUACCUAUAAGACUGGGAUAACUUCGGGAAACCGGAGCUAAUACCGGAUAAUAUAUUGAACCGCAUGGUUCAAUAGUGAAAGACGGUUUUGCUGUCACUUAUAGAUGGAUCCGCGCCGCAUUAGCUAGUUGGUAAGGUAACGGCUUACCAAGGCGACGAUGCGUAGCCGACCUGAGAGGGUGAUCGGCCACACUGGAACUGAGACACGGUCCAGACUCCUACGGGAGGCAGCAGUAGGGAAUCUUCCGCAGUGGGCGAAAGCCUGACGGAGCAACGCCGCGUGAGUGAUGAAGGUCUUCGGAUCGUAAAACUCUGUUAUUAGGGAAGAACAAAUGUGUAAGUAACUAUGCACGUCUUGACGGUACCUAAUCAGAAAGCCACGGCUAACUACGU